Molecule: small RNA, 584 nt
Filed under: Pan troglodytes (chimpanzee)
Lineage: Eukaryota; Metazoa; Chordata; Mammalia; Primates; Hominidae
Description: retained intron
Source: RNAcentral
AAGAACCAAGAUGGUCUCUGGGGCUGGAGUGUCAGCUGUAGUGCCCCUGCCCUCACCCAGCUGUCUGUUGUUACCCGCAGGGAACCCAGAUGAUCUUCAAUGCAGCCAAGGAGCUGGGUCAGCUGUCCAAACUCAAGGAUCACAUGGUACGAGAAGAAGCCAAAAGCUUGACCCCAAAGCAGUGCGCGGUUGUUGAGUUGGCCCUGGACACCAUCAAGCAAUAUUUCCACGCGGGUGGCGUGGGCCUCAAGAAGACCUUCCUGGAGAAGAGCCCGGACCUGCAAUCCUUGCGCUAUGCCCUGUCGCUCUACACGCAGGCCACCGACCUGCUGAUCAAGACCUUUGUACAGACGCAAUCGGCCCAGGGCCUGGGUGUAGAAGACCCUGUGGGUGAAGUCUCUGUCCAUGUUGAGCUGUUCACUCAUCCAGGAACUGGGGAACACAAGGUCACAGUGAAAGUGGUGGCUGCCAAUGACCUCAAGUGGCAGACUUCUGGCAUCUUCCGGCCGUUCAUCGAGGUCAACAUCAUUGGGCCCCAGCUCAGCGACAAGAAACGCAAGUUUGCGACCAAAUCCAAGAACAAU